CCGGCGGGGGUGCGUUGAGAAGCGAGCGGGGUCUGACGUGCGGUGCGGGCUGGCCGCGGGCGGGAGCGGGAGCGCGGCGAAGAGCCAGGCGGGGAGAGGGACCGCCAGACCCUCGGCCGGUCUGGCAUCAUUUGACGAACAGUAGCGUUGCCGUUUUGAGCCUUGUCCACUCUGGAGGCCUGGGAGCGGAUCCUGGUUUCUGAACACGAGCAUCCGUCCUGUCUGCACCUUCUCUGCGUGACGGGACGUGCACCGCCUUCCCCGACAGCCUGGCUUACCGGGGAGAAAAAGGUGGGCUCACGCAGGGGGACUGCCAGGGGCUUCGGUCCUCUGGCGUCAAUGACGGAAGAACCAAGGGGGAAGGUGGGGUGCA
Long non-coding RNA from Aquila chrysaetos chrysaetos, 373 nucleotides. RefSeq lists it as uncharacterized. The transcript is spliced from 2 exons. The record is from RefSeq and is a predicted model, not a curated record. NCBI's taxonomy places the organism in Eukaryota, Metazoa, Chordata, Aves, Accipitriformes, Accipitridae.